Molecule: unclassified non-coding RNA, 294 nt
Filed under: Hevea brasiliensis (rubber tree)
Lineage: Eukaryota; Viridiplantae; Streptophyta; Magnoliopsida; Malpighiales; Euphorbiaceae
Source: RNAcentral
CAACGAUCGGAAAAACCUAACCCUAGCGACCAUGAUCUACGACGUCAAUUCCCCCCUCUUCCGCUCCUUCCUCAGCCAGAAGGGCGGCGCCGGCGAUAAGCGGAAACCAGAGGAACAAAAGCCAAAGGAGCAGAGGCCUAAGGCAAAUGAGAACAAGCUAGUGAUGAAUGAAUGAUAUUAAUCAGUACCAGUUGAAUGAUGUUAAUGAUAAUCAGUGGAACCCUGUACUGUUCAAGCUACUGUUCUCCUGUUUGGCUUUUGUUGUGUGUUUAGACACACUUUCAUGCACAAUAU